UCGCCUGUUUAUCAAAAACAUAGCUAUUAGAAAUUAUUAAUAGUACCUUCUGCUCAAUGAAUAUUAAAUAGCCGCAGUACCCUGACUGUGCAAAGGUAGCAUAAUCAGUUGGCUUAUAAUUGAAGUCUUGUAUGAAUGAAUAAAUGAGGAGAAACUGUCUCAUCGGUAUAUAAUGAAAUUACUGAGCAAGUGCAAAUUCUUGUAAUAAAAUAAUAGACGAGAAGACCCUAGAAAUUUAAAGUACGUGUUAAUUAGGUUUUUGUUGGGGCAACAAUGUAACAGGGAAUUUACAAUUAUAGACAAGAAAUCUUUUUGGAAGAUAAAAUUACUCUAGGGAUAACAGCGUAAUGCAGAAGCGAUUGCGACCUCGAUGUUGGACUAGGAAACAAACGC
RNAcentral lists this ribosomal RNA (393 nucleotides) under Strepsitaurus rugus. RNAcentral's name for it is "partial 16S ribosomal RNA". It matches the Rfam family "Bacterial large subunit ribosomal RNA", at positions 1796 to 2553 of the family's 2925-position model. Lineage: Eukaryota; Metazoa; Mollusca; Gastropoda; Stylommatophora; Camaenidae. The record is from RNAcentral.